GAUCACAAGCCACUCCUAAUGAUCUGAAUUUGAAUAAUCUGUUUGAAUUGAUAACUUUACCAGUAUCAGAUUCACCCUUUGGAAGUAGGACUUUUAUCCGGUUGAAAUCGGCACUUAAUAGGGAUGGGAGUUCCUUUAUCCAAAGUGAUGACCUCUUUUCCAUGGAAUUUCAAUUAUCUUGUCGGACACUGAAAGACCCAACACAAACGAAGUUUUUCCUGAUGCAGCUGGAGAUUCGAGAUAUAAAUGAUAACGCACCCAUAUUUGGAAAUGC
Saccostrea cuccullata (small rock oyster) is the source of this 274-nucleotide long non-coding RNA. RefSeq lists it as uncharacterized. The record is from RefSeq and is a predicted model, not a curated record. NCBI's taxonomy places the organism in Eukaryota, Metazoa, Mollusca, Bivalvia, Ostreida, Ostreidae. The transcript has 3 exons.